GACGAACGCUGGCGGCGUGCUUAACACAUGCAAGUCGAACGGUGAAGCGCCUUCCUUUUUGGUGGGUGUGGAUGAGUGGCGAACGGGUGAGUAACACGUGAGUAACCUGCCCCCUUCUUCUGGAUAACCGCAUGAAAGUGUGGCUAAUACGGGAUAUUCUGGGUCUGUCGCAUGAUGGGUCUGGGAAAGAUAUUGUUUCGGUGGGGGAUGGUCUCGCGGCCUAUCAGCUUGUUGGUGGGGUGAUGGCCUACCAAGGCGGUGACGGGUAGCCGGCCUGAGAGGGUGGACGGUCACACUGGGACUGAGACACGGCCCAGACUCCUACGGGAGGCAGCAGUGGGGAAUAUUGCACAAUGGGCGCAAGCCUGAUGCAGCGACGCCGCGUGAGGGAUGGAGGCCUUCGGGUUGUGAACCUCUUUCGCCAGUGAAGCAGGCCUGCCUCGUUUGUGGGUGGGUUGACGGUAGCUGGAGAAGAAGCGCCGGCUAACUACGUG
Molecule: ribosomal RNA, 494 nt
Filed under: uncultured bacterium
Lineage: Bacteria
Description: partial 16S ribosomal RNA
Rfam family: Bacterial small subunit ribosomal RNA
Source: RNAcentral